This is a long non-coding RNA of Cucurbita moschata (crookneck pumpkin), 262 nucleotides long. RefSeq lists it as uncharacterized. NCBI's taxonomy places the organism in Eukaryota, Viridiplantae, Streptophyta, Magnoliopsida, Cucurbitales, Cucurbitaceae. The transcript has 2 exons. The record is from RefSeq and is a predicted model, not a curated record.
AUAGGUUUAUAAGUAAGGAAGGAAUACAUCCCUAUUGAUAUGAGGGUUUUUGGGAAACCAAAAGCAAAACCACGAGAGCUUAUACUCAAAGUGGACAAUAUCAUGCCACUGUGGAGGUCCCUGAUUCAUAACAAUAUCAUGUCAAUAGAAUACUCAAGUGUCGAACAAAGAAGUGUACUUUGUUCGAGGACUCAAGAAAAAGAGUCAGGAGACUGUUCAAGGGCUCCAUAGGUCUCAGGGAACCUCUAUGGUGUACUUUGUU